UCUAAUAUGGCAGAACUAUAUGCAUCAAGCUUAAGAUUUGUUUAUAAAUAAUAAUAUUUUAUUAGAA
RNAcentral lists this transfer RNA (67 nucleotides) under Eurhadina exclamationis. Its description in RNAcentral is "tRNA-Leu". Lineage: Eukaryota; Metazoa; Arthropoda; Insecta; Hemiptera; Cicadellidae. The record is from RNAcentral.